GAUGAACGCUGGCGGCGUGCCUAAUACAUGCAAGUCGAGCGAACGGACGAGAAGCUUGCUUCUCCGAUGUUAGCGGCGGACGGGUGAGUAACACGUGGAUAACCUACCUAUAAGACUGGGAUAACUUCGGGAAACCGGAGCUAAUACCGGAUGAUAUUUUGAACCGCAUGGUUCAAAAGUGAAAGACGGUCUUGCUGUCACUUAUAGAUGGAUCCGCGCUGCAUUAGCUAGUUGGUAAGGUAACGGCUUACCAAGGCAACGAUGCAUAGCCGACCUGAGAGGGUGAUCGGCCACACUGGAACUGAGACACGGUCCAGACUCCUACGGGAGGCAGCAGUAGGGAAUCUUCCGCAAUGGGCGAAAGCCUGACGGAGCAACGCCGCGUGAGUGAUGAAGGUCUUCGGAUCGUAAAACUCUGUUAUUAGGGAAGAACAUAUGUGUAAGUAACUGUGCACAUCUUGACGGUACCUAAUCAGAAAGCCACGGCUAACUACGUG
Molecule: ribosomal RNA, 497 nt
Filed under: uncultured bacterium
Lineage: Bacteria
Description: partial 16S ribosomal RNA
Rfam family: Bacterial small subunit ribosomal RNA
Source: RNAcentral